ACCAAGGCUUUAUCUGGGGAUGAGCAAAGCCACCCAUUUUAAAAUACAGUGGAAAU
Phalacrocorax carbo (great cormorant) is the source of this 56-nucleotide non-coding RNA. Lineage: Eukaryota; Metazoa; Chordata; Aves; Suliformes; Phalacrocoracidae. The record is from Rfam.